UUUAGUAUGGCGACCGGCGCACGGGUGAGUAACACGUAUCCAACCUGCCGAUGACUCGGGGAUAGCCUUUCGAAAGAAAGAUUAAUACCCGAUGGCAUAGUUCUUCCGCAUGGUAGAACUAUUAAAGAAUUUCGGUCAUCGAUGGGGAUGCGUCCCAUUAGGUUGUUGGCGGGGUAACGGCCCACCAAGCCUUCGAUGGAUAGGGGUUCUGAGAGGAAGGUCCCCCACAUUGGAACUGAGACACGGUCCAA
This 251-nucleotide ribosomal RNA is filed under the name uncultured bacterium. Its description in RNAcentral is "partial 16S ribosomal RNA". It matches the Rfam family "Bacterial small subunit ribosomal RNA", at positions 82 to 334 of the family's 1533-position model. The record is from RNAcentral.